This 961-nucleotide ribosomal RNA is filed under the name Kingella kingae. RNAcentral's name for it is "bacterial SSU rRNA". It matches the Rfam family "Bacterial small subunit ribosomal RNA", at positions 474 to 1436 of the family's 1533-position model. Lineage: Bacteria; Pseudomonadati; Pseudomonadota; Betaproteobacteria; Neisseriales; Neisseriaceae. The record is from RNAcentral.
GGUACCUAAAGAAUAAGCACCGGCUAACUACGUGCCAGCAGCCGCGGUAAUACGUAGGGUGCGAGCGUUAAUCGGAAUUACUGGGCGUAAAGCGAGCGCAGACGGUUAGUUAAGCAAGAUGUGAAAUCCCCGAGCUCAACUUGGGAACUGCGUUUUGAACUGGCUAGCUAGAGUGUGUCAGAGGGGGGUAGAAUUCCACGUGUAGCAGUGAAAUGCGUAGAGAUGUGGAGGAAUACCGAUGGCGAAGGCAGCCCCCUGGGAUAACACUGACGUUCAUGCUCGAAAGCGUGGGUAGCAAACAGGAUUAGAUACCCUGGUAGUCCACGCCCUAAACGAUGUCAAUUAGCUGUUGGGCAACUUGAUUGCUUAGUAGCGUAGCUAACGCGUGAAAUUGACCGCCUGGGGAGUACGGUCGCAAGAUUAAAACUCAAAGGAAUUGACGGGGACCCGCACAAGCGGUGGAUGAUGUGGAUUAAUUCGAUGCAACGCGAAGAACCUUACCUGGUCUUGACAUGUACGGAAGAGAGUAGAGAUACUCUUGUGCCUUCGGGAGCUGUAGCACAGGUGCUGCAUGGCUGUCGUCAGCUCGUGUCGUGAGAUGUUGGGUUAAGUCCCGCAACGAGCGCAACCCUUGUCAUUAGUUGCCAUCAUUAAGUUGGGCACUCUAAUGAGACUGCCGGUGACAAACCGGAGGAAGGUGGGGAUGACGUCAAGUCCUCAUGGCCCUUAUGACCAGGGCUUCACACGUCAUACAAUGGUCGGUACAGAGGGUAGCCAAGCCGCGAGGUGGAGCCAAUCCCAGAAAACCGAUCGUAGUCCGGAUUGCACUCUGCAACUCGAGUGCAUGAAGUCGGAAUCGCUAGUAAUCGCAGGUCAGCAUACUGCGGUGAAUACGUUCCCGGGUCUUGUACACACCGCCCGUCACACCAUGGGAGUGGGGGAUACCAGAAGUAGAUAGGGU